UACGUAGGAGGCAAGCGUUGUCCGGAAUUACUGGGCGUAAAGCGCGUGUAGGUGGUGGGACAAGUCUGCUGUGAAAGCGCCUGGCUUAACCGGGCGAGGUCGGCGGAAACUGUCCGACUAGAGGACGGUAGAGGGGGGUGGAAUUCCCGGUGUAGUGGUGAAAUGCGUAGAGAUGUGGAGGAAUACCGAUGGCGAAGGCAGCCCCCUGGGCCAAUACUGACGCUCAUGCACGAAAGCGUGGGGAGCAAACAGG
RNAcentral lists this ribosomal RNA (253 nucleotides) under uncultured bacterium. RNAcentral describes it as "partial 16S ribosomal RNA". It matches the Rfam family "Bacterial small subunit ribosomal RNA", at positions 524 to 776 of the family's 1533-position model. The record is from RNAcentral.